This 253-nucleotide ribosomal RNA is filed under the name uncultured bacterium. Its description in RNAcentral is "partial 16S ribosomal RNA". It matches the Rfam family "Bacterial small subunit ribosomal RNA", at positions 524 to 776 of the family's 1533-position model. The record is from RNAcentral.
UACAUAGGGCUCAAGCGUUGUUCGGAUUUAUUGGGCGUAAAGGGUGCGUAGGCGGUUCGUUAAGUCGGGUGUGAAAUCUCGGAGCUUAACUCCGAAACUGCAUUCGAUACUGCCGUGCUUGAGGACGGGAGAGGAGACUGGAAUUUACGGUGUAGCGGUGAAAUGCGUAGAUAUCGUAAGGAAGACCAGUGGCGAAGGCGGGUCUCUGGACAGUUCCUGACGCUGAGGCACGAAGGCCAGGGGAGCAAACAGG